CUGCAAGCUUGUAGAGAGGGAGGUAGCCUCAAACCUCCCUCUGACUCUGCUCUCUGAUCGGAAGGAGGUUAGUCCUGCAGCAUGGGAGCAUGGACCUGACACAAAGUAAAGAAUAAAAGUAUAAGCCAUGCAAUUGUCGAGGACCUUCUUACAUCCAGUCAAUCCAAUUUCUUCUGUCAUGAGGCUAAACUGAGUGUGUUUCAGAAGCAGAGGAAGAAAAUCAAAGUGAAGUCACUUGUUGAAAGAGAGACUCAGGUGAAAGAGGGCUAAUGCAGCAGCCGGCUGGGUUCCCCCUGGCAGGACGACAAGGAGCUGCUUCUGGCUCUUUUCCUGCUGUUCUACAAUUAAAAUUCUAGGAGGAAUAUAAUAUUGAAGAAAUAAAUCUUACAGUCGUUAAUCAGACAAGAUUCAAAGAAAUAAAUCACAAAGGAAACAGCGAAACAUCGGCUUCAAGCGGAUGCAUAAAGGAAAUGAACAUGGGCUAAGGAUGUUGCUAUUUCCACCAGCUGGACAGAGAAGCUGGAGAACUGGAGACAAAAGAAAUGUGUGAGCUGAGGAAGAAAUGGGCAUGGACAUACUAGCAUUUACAAGGCUGCUCAGGCAAAGGCCUGGGAGUAGGAUUACAGCUUUAAAACAAAAUCUAAAGGACUUUCAUUUCUGCAGCUUGGUGAAAAUUUUGCAGGGAAACAUUUUCUGAGCAGCGAAUGUCAAUUCACAUACAGAAACACUUUGCUGGAUUUUGCCAGUUUCUGUGAAGUUUUGUUCAGAAAAAAAUAGUUCUUGUCGGGUUUCACCAAAGAAGAAACUGCAGACGGAGCUGGGCUGCCGUGAAUUGAGAAAGAUGGGCGUGAAAGGGGAAAAAAAGUACAAAAUCAGAUAACUCGAGGAGGAAAAAAAGAAAAAUUUAUCUCUUGGAAAGUGAUGAAGAGGGGAGCAAUGCUAAAGCCCUGCAAGAAAGGAGCAAGCCGGUCCUGUGGGGAGCAGAGGCAUGCGGAUGCAUACGGCAGCAACCGCGCUCCGCUCCGCGCGAACCCAGUUGCCCAACAUGAAAUGCUGAAGACCCAGAGGGGCAGGGCGGGAGGAGCGGAGCGGACUCAGGUUCACACAGAGGUGUCUUUUCAUGUGAAAGCAGUAAGUUUCCAUGAAUGUAAGGUAGAUGCCAUACAGCAACUGUUGGAUUUCCAGAAAAAUCACAGCCGAGCUGGCAGUACUGCCAGCCACAGAGAAGACAACGAACAACGCCAGUGUUCAUGAAUUUUGACAGUACAUAGGGGUUUAGGAAAAUGUUCCUUGUUCAUGGAGACUCCCAUGGCUAAAUGUGAUGUGAUGGGAUGUUAUGUAAUGAUUUAGAUAUGGUUCUUUAGAAAAUACUAAACACAUUGCAGCUGUUGCUCUCUUACUCUCCAAACUGUUAUUACAAACCUGACAAUAUAUUAUGCAUUACUUUACCAAUUUACCUGCAACAGACAUUAAAGCCGUCAUUCCCGCUCACAUUCCUCCACACUGUGUCCUUGAUGGCUCACACAGGGCUAAAAGAGCAGCUCUCUGCUAUUUGUAUAGACAAGCAAGCAAACUGUGCUAUUUGCCCGAACUCUCAAAUUUUCAUUCUUCCUACCUGUGCAUUCACAAAAGGAAAAAAGCAUAAUAAACUAGAGAGAGAGCUUGCUGGGUUUUCCUCAGAUCAUGGGAGAUCUUUCUUCUAAUGACAUUUGACAUGACUUCUAAUGACAUAAUGACAUGACUUCAGACAGUUUUGUUUUAUGUAAUUCGAGUAAUAUAAUUGUACCCAUUUCCUCAUGAACAUGUCCUUAAUAACAUUAUUUUGGCACAUUUGUAGCUGAGACUUUCAGGAUCAAAAAGAAUUUAGGCAGAAUUAUGUUAAAUAAAACGUGGAACACUGAAAUACGGCACAACCCAGUGAAAAAGCAAACAAAUAUGGGGCGAAUGAUGCUGUGAGCCAGACGUGGAAGUGUUUCUUUGCACCGAAGCCAAAAUUGGUACAAGAUGCUCUUCAGUAUUGCUGAAGAUCAGUGCCUCAGGCUCUGUUGGGCCUUCAAGAAAAGACAAGUCAGCCUAAUUUAGGUGGGGUUUUAUUAAUCAGUCUGUUUUCCCACCAGCCACCUCAAGGAGAAACAAAUUUGUGUCUUAGCCUUUCCAUUCUUAUAACAAAUGCGGGAGCAUCUUGCAAAAUAGAGACACUCCCAAUUACAAUGAAAAUGUAACCGAAUGUUAGUUAAGAAAAAAUAUAGUUCUGGUAGGGCUUUUUUACCAUGGAUUAUAAUUAUUAUUUUAAAAUAUUCAGUUAUGCUCUAACCGUAGUUACAAAAGCUCGUAAACUUUCUUUUUUACCAUUUUUUGGUGGUUUGCCAGCAAGGUAGAAACCUGUCGCUACGAGCCUGCGAAUGUUUCUGUGUGUUUAUAAUGGCCUUGAUUAAUGCGCUGGUAUGCUAUAACCCGGGGGAGAUUCUAGACCUAGUCAUAAACAGCAUAUUUAUAGGGAAGGUAUUUGAAAUCCUGAUUUUAUUUUUUAAAAAAGAACACAAGCUUAUUUGAAGUCUAUGUUGCUUUCUGUAAUAGAUACAGUAUAAUCCGAUACUUACAGGCUUCUAAUAUACUACAAGAUAUUUUGGAAGUCAUUUGGUGUUUUGAGUCCACUUCAUAAAGGAUUUGCAUAUCUUUUAAGUAUCUGAGUUUCUUCUGGCCUGCACACAAAAGAAUCUCUGGAGGCACAGAUCUCAGAAAGUGUAUAAUGAAAAAAUGGAAAGCAGUUUGCAUACUAAUACAAUCCCAUUCUUACAUUUUGUCUUAUGAAAAGGCAACUAUUUAUUGCAACCAGUUUUGGCACAUGUUGGUGACUGUAGCGAAUAGAUGCAUUGUGAGAGCUGCACAAAAGAAAGCUUAUCAAAUCCUGUUUUUUCUGAAUUACUUGAGAUACGCAAAACCUCAAAAGCUUUCAGAAAACUGCAAAGAACCACAGUUUACCUAAGUGGAAAUUCCUCUUCCAUUUUUUCUGUUGCUUCUGUUCUGUAAUUGCAUGUUUAAUGCUGUAAUAUGCAUUUAAGAGUACAGAAGAAAAAUGAUAGGACAACCUAUUACUUGUGAAAAAUACUGCCUGGGGAAAACAAGCAAUAACCUGGAAAGUGAUGUUCUGAACACAUGAGUGUCUUUAAUGCUAACGUGUAUGUAUUUUGCUCACUGCCUUAUUCGCUAAGUGCACUCAGUCUGAAGCACUUGGUGUCAAUAGGAAGUUCCUAAGUAAACACAAUGUAGACUAAAUUAAGGGCAACAUCUCUCCAUAUUCUUUGCACGUGGCUGAGGUAGAGAGAUUAAAAGAUCAGUCAAAACGCUGCCUUAAAAUAAUAUUUCUGGGAAACAUUUUUCACUAAGUCAGGAGCACCACUGGAAAUUUACAGUCCCUAAAUUUCCAUAUAAAUGAAACCAAAAUAUCACCUGCCAUGUUCUCAAGAAUCUGUUGCUAGUCAUGAAGAAAUAUGUAUUUUUAGAAAAUGUUUAAUAAAGUAAAAGCACCAUGAACCUUCCUAAAAUGUCUUUAGAGAACAACUGUACAAAAGAUGGAAAAAAAAUGCUUUUGAAAAUUAAAAGCAAAAUUAAUAAAAAGCACUGAACAUGGGGUGAAAGGGAUCACUAGAGCUCAAAAGUGCCAUUGUCUUAAGAGCAGAAAUGCUACACCCAGACUAUUAAGAACAGUUUAACCUGGCCUCUCUGGUCAUGGGGAGUCCAGAGGACUUUUACUGCUUAACUAUCCUUAGCAUUGGAAAAUUCUUUCUAAUGCCUAACCGAACUCUCACUUGCUCCAAAUUAAUCCCAUUAUUUCUUACACCAUUCUAAGUGGACAUGGAGAAUAAUUUAUUAUCCUCUCUUUGCAAUAACUCUAGAAUGGCUCUAAUUACACUACGUAUGCUUACUGAUGGUUAUAAUUUCAACUAAAUCAGGUAAUUGGAAGGUUAACUACUGACUGAAAAUUAUCACAGCUUAAAUAAAAUUCAGUUAAUGAGUCCCACUCCUAAAAAAUUAUACUUAUAAAAUAUGAAGCCACAAUGAGAAAUUCUGUAGAUUAAUUAAUUAUCAAGGAGAACCACAGUGAAUUUGCUUUGUAAUUGUGGUAUUAUUCACAUGUAUUUACAGCUGAGUGAUUCAAAAUUAUAGGGAUAUAAGGCAACAACUAAUUCAAAAUAAAAUAAAUGUGGUUAUGAAAAAAGGCUGUAAUAACAAUUCCUGAACUUAUAACUAUUGCAUGAAAAUGGAAGCAGUGAUUAGUUAGCAUAUGUAGAUGGCUAUUAUGAUUUGAGUAAGAAAGCUACUUAAGCACAUUGAUUAAAAUGAGGCUGGUGCUUAAUUACUUCCCUGGGCUGUGCAUAUCUGGAAAAAUGACUUUCCCACAUUUCUGAACACGAGGCAGUAAUAGAUUCAUAAAGCCUGAAUAUUUAGGGUCUUUGGGGACAAUAAAAUAAUACAAUACCUGCCUCUAAAUCCCAGCUUGCAUCAGGCUCCCUUCCCCGGCUCCCAGAUGCGAGCGCAGCCCCGAGACAGCAGCGGUGGCACGUCCCCGUCAGGGCUGGGGCACACCAAAAACAGCUCCAGGGAAAGUAGCUGUUCAUAUCUAAUCUGGAAAGUGCUGCGCCUAACACCAAGCUAAUCAGGUUACAAAGUCCAAACUACUCAACAGACAUUUUGUCUUGUGAAAAAGCCAUUCAUUUGUUAUUCUCCCAUUAGCGUAUCGGGAAAAGAAGUAGAAUUGAUUUUUUGCAAUUACUUUAGUUUUUUUUUUUUCAGAAUAGGUUAAACUAAUACACAUGGUGUCAAAGCCUGGUGCUCCACCUGGGCAUCUGAAAUGGAAGGGGACAAUGGAGAUAAAAUUUGUUUGAAUUUGCACUAGCUGAGAGGAAGAAGUGGCAUUGGCUAUUUGGCCUGGAAAAGGAGAAAGCUGAAAUGAGGAAUUAAAGCAUCUGGGCUCAGUUCUAAUAAAGAUCUAGGCUCUGCCUCCCACAGACUUACACUGUAUAUUUUGUGCAGUUCUGUCAAAAUCAAUGACACAUCACAGAAAAAUUCUUCAAGUUGCUACUCACAUGAUGAAGGUCUGUAUCUGGCCUUUAGCAGUAUUAUCUAUAAAUGCAUUAGCUUUGCUUAUUUCUAUUGUUAUAUAGCAUUAGGCAAAUGGAAGGAAUAAGUAUCCAGUACGAGAUAUUAUUGUAGAGUAGUAAGAGUUAUUUGCAUAAGUAUACAGCUAUACAUAUAUAUAGACAUACAUAUACAUACAUACACAUACACAU
Dromaius novaehollandiae (emu) is the source of this 5291-nucleotide long non-coding RNA. RefSeq lists it as uncharacterized. The transcript is spliced from 5 exons. NCBI's taxonomy places the organism in Eukaryota, Metazoa, Chordata, Aves, Casuariiformes, Dromaiidae. The record is from RefSeq and is a predicted model, not a curated record.